This 819-nucleotide non-coding RNA is filed under the name Apilitermes longiceps. Lineage: Eukaryota; Metazoa; Arthropoda; Insecta; Blattodea; Termitidae. The record is from RNAcentral.
AAGAAGUUUUAUUCUUGCUUUUUCAUUCAGUUUAUAUUUGUUCUAUAUGUAAGUUUUGCGUGUUUUUCUUUCAUCUCUAGAUGGGUUGGUUGGAUUAUUGUUUUGUAAUUCUCAUUAGUUAUUAUUGGUUGAUCGAAUAUUUUUGUAUCUAGCAUUUUAUUUUAGUUUCGGUUAAAUUUUGUGCCAGCAGCCGCGGUUAUACCUUGGAGGCGUUUGAAUGUGUUUGGCUUAUUGGUAGUUAUAUUAUUUUAUUUUUUUAUGAUUUUGUUUUAUGGUAGUUUAAUAGGUGAAAUUUUUAUUUUUGUUUUAUUGUCUAUAUAUAUUUAAAGGCUGCGAAAUUCUUUUUAUAAACUAGGAUUAGAUACCCUAUUAUUUUGGAAUGUUAAGAUUUGUGCUUGAGUAGUAUUAGUUAUGUUCUUGAAACUUAAAGAAUUUGGCGGUAUCUCAUUCCGUUCAGAGGAAUCUGUCUCGUUAUCGAUAGUCCGCGUUGGACCUUACUUGUAUUGCUUUAUGGUUUGUAUACCGCCGUUUAUUGAUUAUCUUUUUAGAGUUGAGUAAUUUUCUGGUUUCUUUAUUUUGAUUUAUUUCAGGUCAAGGUGCAGCUUGUUUUCAAGUGUAUGAUGGAUUACAUUGUUAUUUGUUUUUGGAUUGUUGAUUAAAAUAUUGGCAUGAAAUUGGAUUUGGUUGUAAUAAUUUGUAUAUUGUUUUUAUGAUAUUGGUUUUGGGAUAUGUACACAUCGCCCGUCGCUCUCGUUCAGUGUUUAUUAAUGAGAUAAGUCGUAACAAAGUGGCUGUACCGGAAGGUGUAGCUGGAUUGAU